UUUCAGAAAUACAAGCUUGAGAACUCACCUCGAAAUGUCGCUGUUGUUGCUGUUGAAGGAAGGUGAUUAUCCGCAUCAUCAAAUAAAACGUAAUGGAUAGAGCAACCACAAGAUGUCUGAAUAGCAAGAAAAGAGUGAACUGCAACAAAUGAAGUCAAUGAAAUAGCUGUGAAGUUUCAAUGUGACUUACCAUCAAUGCGAUUGAUCGGCAAUACGAGAAGCUUCUCUCAGCCGCUUCGGUGCAAGCCGGG
Dioscorea cayenensis subsp. rotundata (Guinea yam) is the source of this 251-nucleotide long non-coding RNA. RefSeq lists it as uncharacterized. Lineage: Eukaryota; Viridiplantae; Streptophyta; Magnoliopsida; Dioscoreales; Dioscoreaceae. The transcript is spliced from 3 exons. The record is from RefSeq and is a predicted model, not a curated record.